RNAcentral lists this ribosomal RNA (1428 nucleotides) under Triticum aestivum (bread wheat). RNAcentral describes it as "partial small subunit ribosomal RNA". The record is from RNAcentral. Lineage: Eukaryota; Viridiplantae; Streptophyta; Magnoliopsida; Poales; Poaceae.
AUGGGAUCAUCUGCCAAGAGUCAGGAAAUCGGGUCAAAAAGAAAGUGGGAGAACCAACACCAACAUACAGCGAAGCACAUCGCAUGGCAUUCCUUUGGGUACCAAGGCCACUAUCCGCAACAGAGGCCUCCAUGGAAUGGUGCUUCACUCACCCCCUCGCCAGGGAGGCAAAAUAAUUUCCAUGUUUCAGGAGAUCGAUUCUUUCUGACGUCCAGCCCAUACCAACAAGAUCUGGAAAGUAGGUACAUUCAGGACAAAAAGAACGGUGUAAUCACUUGUUUGGUCUGUGGCAAUGAAGGACAUUACAGUUCUGAGUGCCAUUUCAAGGACCAAGAGCACAAAAUCAUUUGCGCGGUCUGUAGCAAAAAUGGCCACUGUAGCAUGUGGUGUUGCCAGCAGAACAAGUCGGAGAAUCGAGCUUGCACCCGCUGUGGAGAGAUAGGGCAUACUACCAAUACACAUGGUCUCGGUUGCUCAAGCUGUGACGAGUAUCAUGACGAUGGAGAGUGCCGUUUAAGCCAAGUUAAAUGCUUUAUCUGUGAAUGUCAGGAUCAUUAUCUUGCUCAGUGCCCCUUGAAUUCAGUAUUGACUGAGGCAUUUCAGGGCCAGAGAGACAACUUCCAAGCGGCUCUGCGGCUUGCACUAUCAAAACAACGCAACCCAUCAUCUACACCUGCCAAGUGUUACGCAAAAUCAGAAGGAAGAGUACUGACCGCCAACAAGUCUAGUCCAAUUUGCUUUACAUGCCGUGAAGAAGGUCACUUUGCCUUUCAGUGUCCUCAGAACAGCCCCGGCCAGUCCGAAGAAUUUGAAGAGAGCAACACUAUAGCUACAUCGGCCAACCUGUCCAAAGAAUUAGAAGAACGGGACCCUGAUACAGGUACUGCUAAACAAUCAUCAGCAAGGAAGCCGAUAUUGUACGAUCAGUGUUGCCCCUCAAAAGCAAAAGUACUGACCCCCAACAAGUCUAGUCCAAUGGUUAGAACAUGUAAAACAAAAACAGAAGGGAAGAAAAGGAUGUGCUUUACAUACCGUGAAGAAGGUCACGAUGCCCGUAUGUGUCCGCAGAAGUUCGGAGCUAUAUCUGGCAACGCGUCAAAAAAAUUAGAAGAGAGAAGCACUAUAGCUACAUCCUCCAACAUGUCCAAAGUAUUGGAAGAACAGGACCCUGGUACUGCUAAACAUUCAUCAGAAAUGAAGUGGGUUCUUCGAUGUGUUAGCUGUGGUCAGGAAGGGCACAGGGCCAAGGGCUGUCCAACACGAGUGUUUAUAUGCUCCUUAUGCAAUGAAGAAGGCCACAAAGCCAAGAAAUGCCCUCAGAAGGGCCAGAAAUCAUCAGAAAUGAAGCGUAAAUCGAAUGUCCGAUGUGUAAGGUGUGGUGAGGAAGGGCACAGGCGCAAGAAGUGUCCGUUGAAACAUCAAUCAUAG